AGGGGAAUUUUUUACAAUGGAUGAAAGCCUGACGGAGUAAUGCCUCGUGGAGGUAGAAGGCCCAUGGGUUGCGAACCUCUUUUCCCAGAAAAGAACCAAUGAUGAUAUCUGGGGAAUAAAUAUUGGCUAACUCUAUGACAACAAUCACGGUAAUAUAGAGGUUGCAAGGGUUAUCCGAAAUAAUUGGGUGUAAAGCGUUUGUAGGUAGAUUUUUAAGUCUGCUGUCAAAUCUUAGAGCUUAACUUUGGACAGGCAGUGAAAACUACUAAGCUGGAUUACGGUAAGGGCAGAAGAAAUUUCCAGUGGAACAAUGAAAUAUGUAGAGAUCGGAAAGAACACCAAUGGUGAAAGCACUUUGUUGGGGCGACACUGAUAUUGAGAGAUGAAAGCCCCUAAGUGAAUG
Molecule: ribosomal RNA, 403 nt
Filed under: uncultured bacterium
Lineage: Bacteria
Description: bacterial SSU rRNA
Rfam family: Bacterial small subunit ribosomal RNA
Source: RNAcentral